UGUAUUCACUACUGUAAGUCGCUCUGGAUAAGAGCAUCUGCUAAAUGACCAAAA
Salmo salar (Atlantic salmon) is the source of this 54-nucleotide non-coding RNA. The record is from Rfam. NCBI's taxonomy places the organism in Eukaryota, Metazoa, Chordata, Actinopteri, Salmoniformes, Salmonidae.